Small nucleolar RNA from Raphanus sativus (radish), 107 nucleotides. NCBI's taxonomy places the organism in Eukaryota, Viridiplantae, Streptophyta, Magnoliopsida, Brassicales, Brassicaceae. The record is from RefSeq and is a predicted model, not a curated record.
AAACCAUGGUGUGGGCACUUAGCCUGGUAGUCACUGAAUCUCUCCCAUGCUUCACUAAAGCUCUCAAGGUUCUUCUGCUGGAAAGAUGAAAUUUCAUUCCUUAACUU